GGUGGCUGAGAAUUAAAGCAUUAGACUUUUAAUCUAAUAACGAUGAAUUACAUCCCUG
This 58-nucleotide transfer RNA is filed under the name Tectus virgatus. Its description in RNAcentral is "tRNA-Lys". The record is from RNAcentral. Lineage: Eukaryota; Metazoa; Mollusca; Gastropoda; Trochida; Tegulidae.